UUGAUGAAACGCACCGACCGCCCAGCGCCACUCCUCAUCCAUAUGCGUGCCUUAUCCACACCGUCACUUCCCCUUCUCACUCACCGCUGCUCCUCCUCUUCUCCAGCCACUAUCACCCAGUGAUGCUCUUCCUCUUCUACACGCAUUGCACGGACGAUGCACUCCACUCUCCUGGAGUGCAUGGUGGCUGGCCAGAGCCAAGGCAGCACCCCUUAUCAGCGCGAGGAACCCAGAGACGCCAUGGAUGGCGCCAUGGAUGCUCCUCUGCCGUUGGUCUGAUCUGGCCGUCCCGCCCCAGUCGUCGGCCCGCUCCGGAUCCGGCCAGCAGCCUUGCCUCUGAUCCGAUUCGGAUGGCCCUGCCUACAGCCUCCGCCACCUGCGGCAUGCCCCCCAGAGGUCCGGCUGAUCCAGCCUGUCCACGAAGUCCAGCCGGCCCUCCUCCCGGGCGCGUUCCUCGGCCGUUGCCACGUGCUCGGCCAACAACUUCGUUGAACUGGUGGUACACCCGGUGCAGCUUGCCCUGCACUCCCUGGACACAUUGCUUCUUCUACAUCUACCUGAUGCUGUCCCUUCUCUUCUUCUCUAUCAGGGCAGCAUCAACCCCCUUUUCCCUGUCGGUGAGGAACUCCAGCAGAGGAUGGACUGUGUUUUGGAGCUCCUCGAUCUGGCCUCCCCCGCUCAGGUGCCGCUCCAUGCUCCGGAUCUGGCCACAGUAGGCCUCGCCCCCGACGACCAACAGGCUCAGAUCCAUCCCUUCCCUCCUGUCCUCCACAUGCGUAGGGGCUGUGGCGCCAGAUCAAGGGAGCCUGCCAAUGGAGGUCACCGCCUCUCCGUCUCGUUCCGUCCGCCGCCGGAUCCACCACGUUGUGCCAUGGAUGGGCGCCUUGCAGCUCCUCCUCCCGUCACCUAAUCUGCCUGCCCGCCCGUGCUCCAGAUCCGGCUAACAGCCUCGCCUCCGACCCGAUUCAGACAGGCGCCCACACAAUCUCACUCCGCCACCUGCGCCUCAGGUCUGACCGAUCCUGCGUCGCUCAUCCUCGCUGCUUUUCUUGUUUAAGUUAGCCCCGCUGUUUCUUUUGCUCGCAGCUUGCGAGGAGGCCAGGGCGCGCCUUGUCCAGCCGCGGGCUACCUGCUGUGUCAGUCAGCCCAGCCGCCUCGACCCGGCCUUCUCCUUCUCCGCCCCCAGCUCUAGGCCUCAAACAACUCCCACUUUUUGGAAAUCCUCCGUAGAGCGAGGGGCACCGGUGGUGGUGGUGUUCGCUAGGUGGACUCUGUUCCAUUUUCUUUGCUCCUUCACGCUUUGGCGAUUCCUUCUGUUCCCUUUCUCUGCUUGUUUUGAUUUCUAAUGUGGCUUGUUGAUUCUCAUGGCAACUCCGAGGGACUAUUAUGCAAAAUCGCGCACGACGACGUACGACAGAAAUCCAAUUCUGUUUGUUAGCCGGGCUCGGCCAGCGCCCCGACGGCCCCGACACUAUGCCCAGGCGGAGGUAGAGGAGCUCCCCCACCCCGCGUCCUCCUCCUCCUCCUGGUCCGCCGACGACGCCUGGGUCCUCGGUCGCCAACCUGGCCGCGAGCUCCUCCAGCCGCAUCCCCAUGCAUAAAUGCGCGGAUGUGCUCCCCGGCACUGGCCGGCGGACGGCGCGGCACCGAAUCGACCGCCGCACGGGGUGGGGUGCCUCCUGGCGGCUGGGAUCGGGAGGCGAGGGAGAAAGAGGAGAGACGGUUGGGGUUAUGUUUCUUUUUUUACUUCAAAAAGGACCGCGGGUUUAAUACCGCAAACUGUAGGGAUUGUUUUGCAAAAUUUCUGAUCGAAACGUUUUCCCACUUA
Molecule: long non-coding RNA, 1828 nt
Organism: Triticum dicoccoides
Lineage: Eukaryota; Viridiplantae; Streptophyta; Magnoliopsida; Poales; Poaceae
Exons: 2
Source: RefSeq, a predicted model, not a curated record